GGGGGUGUAGCUCAAAUGGGAGAGCACUCACUUCGCAUGUGAGAGGCACGGGGUUCGAUUCCUCGCACCUCCA
Transfer RNA from Ipomoea nil (Japanese morning glory), 73 nucleotides. It matches the Rfam family "tRNA". Rfam says of the family: Transfer RNA (tRNA) molecules are approximately 80 nucleotides in length. Their secondary structure includes four short double-helical elements and three loops (D, anti-codon, and T loops). The record is from Rfam. Lineage: Eukaryota; Viridiplantae; Streptophyta; Magnoliopsida; Solanales; Convolvulaceae.